CUUCUUCCCCAUUUCCGUGCUUCGUCUUCUUCGCCAAACCGACUCUCCCUCCACAGAAAUGGAGACGAAGCCAUAGAAAUCUAAAAACCCACUUCACUCCGUAAUCCCAGGUUCAACCCACUCUUCUUCCCCAUUUCUGUCUUUCGUCGUCGUCUUCCUCGCUAAACCGACGGCAUCACUCAGUACACAGAAAUGGAGACGAAGCCAUAGAAAUCCAAAAGCCCACUUCACUCCGUAAUUCCUAACACCAAAUUUAACUCCAAUCCGCACCUAAUUAGCUCAAAUAAUCAGCAUAGAUCAGUUUAUUGCGGCCCUUCGUACAAUCUUUGAUCUAAGUUGCUUCAGAAGAGAAAACUCAACAUCCAUGGCUAUACACAGGCUGCCUACAUCAUCUGAGUGAACAAAGGAAAAUAAGAGUUGAAAGCCACUCCAAAGAUUUGACGGUGUACAUGCAGAGCAAUCAUGUAGUCGAAAAGUUCCUCUCCAAAAACUCUAAGACAAAAAUGAUAAAGGUUUUCAACGUUGCGCUUCACUUAAGUUUAGAAGUACAAAAGAGAGUAAUUUACUCGUCGCACAAGUAAGCAACUCCAAAAAUAGAUACAUAGCUACGAAACCAUUUGUCACCUAUUUACCUGAAAAUUAUGAGGUCAUCUACAUAUGCUCCAAGCACCAUCCUUGCAUCUAUCCAUGAAAGAGCCUCACUAAGAUACACAAAAUUACUCCUCAACAGGACACCAGGGUUCCACUCUAUCAUGCAUAGAAACAUAAAAAUGAGAUUGAAGCUCUCCUAUUAUUUUCCCUCAAUUUGAGUAGUGUUGACAAUGAGAAUAAGUCAUACUUGGUAUAUAAUUUCUUCGCUUUGGAAGAUUUCAUUCAUCUAAUAGUUAUUGAUGAGAUUUCUGCUCACAGGACAAUUUCUAGUGCUCUAUUUCUCUAAUUUGUGUAUUUGUAGAAAUUCAUAAUUGUUGUUUGAAUAUAAAACAGUAAACAUAAAAUAUUAACUUAGGAUCAUCCUCAAUGAGGAAAUCUAUAAGUCUUGUUACGGAGAGUGUAUCUCCAUCACCUAUCCAAUAAUAUAUGAUACUAUAACAAAA
Molecule: long non-coding RNA, 1094 nt
Organism: Ipomoea triloba (trilobed morning glory)
Lineage: Eukaryota; Viridiplantae; Streptophyta; Magnoliopsida; Solanales; Convolvulaceae
Exons: 4
Source: RefSeq, a predicted model, not a curated record